This 1225-nucleotide long non-coding RNA is filed under the name Strigops habroptila (Kakapo). RNAcentral's name for it is "lncRNA (ENSSHBG00005013901.1)". Lineage: Eukaryota; Metazoa; Chordata; Aves; Psittaciformes; Psittacidae. The record is from RNAcentral.
UUUUUCCUGCAUUUUCCUGCGUUUUUCCUGUGUUUUUUUUUCCUGUUUUCCUGCAUCUUGGCUGCUUCUCUGAGGGUGGAAACACACUCGAGACCCCCCCCCCCCCAAAAAAAACCCCAUUUCCCCCCUUUGUCCCCCCUUUCCGGAGCCUGCUGCCCACCCCUCCCGCACGCCGCCGCUGCGGGAGCGGCCGGAAGGAGGCGGGAGCACUUACUGCGCGGCCGCUGCUUCUCCUCGCUCCACCUCCCGCUCCCGCUUCCUGGGCUCCCCGCUCCGCUCCCCGCGGCUCCCGCCGCUCCUCGCCAGCGGCCGCUCGCUGCCGGGCUCUGCCGCCGCUUCGCUCCUUUUGGCUGUUUCCCGGUUUCCUUUUUUCCUAUUUUCUUCUCUAUUUUUUCUAUUUUUUCCUCAACGUUUUGAAUUUUUUCUUUUGGCUCAAUUUCCCCAAAUUUAUUUUCCUCAAUUUUCUUCUUCCUGAAUUUUCUUUUUUUCCUGUUUUCUAUUUUUUCUCUCUUUUAGUUUUUCUCUCAAUUUUUUUUCUCAAUUUCUCGGCAUUAUUUUCUUUUUUUCUAUUUUCUCUUUUAUCUUUUUUGCAGCGUUUUUCCUCAAUUUUUUUCCAAUUUUUCUUUUUUCAUUUUUCUUAUUUUUUCUCAAUUUUAUAUUUUCCUUUUUCAAUUUUUAAUUUUUUUUCUCUUUCCUUUUUGCCUCUUUUUCCUCUAUUUUCUUCUCUUUUUUCCUCUAUUUUUUCCUGUAUUUUCUUUUUCUCUUUUUUCCUCUAUUUUCUUCUCUUUUUUCCUCUAUUUUCUUUUUCUAUUUUUUCCUCUAUUUUUCCUCUAUUUUCUUUUUUUUUCCUCUAUUUUUUCCUGUAUUUUCUUUUUUCUCUUUCUUUCCUCUAUUUUCUCUUCCUAUUUCCUCGCCUGGUUCUUCUCCAUCUCCUCCUCGUCUGUCUCUUCCCUCCGCCGUCUCCUCGGGCUCUCUCUCCCCUCAGGCUGCUGCCGCAUCUACCGCGUCCUUUCCGCGCCGCGGAGCCUCCGGAGCGCUCCCUCAGCCCGUGCCCGGAGCUCCGGAACGGGCCCUAAAGCGGCUUUAGGGGCUGCUCUAAAGAAUGAAAGCGCUUUAGGAGCGUUCUAGAAGCAAGAAACCAGCUUUAAGAGCUGCAGCGAGGAAGAAAUCUGCUUUAGGAGCUCUUCUUCCUCCCACGAAAGCCGCUCGGAAAGGGGGGUUUCCC